Molecule: long non-coding RNA, 1273 nt
Organism: Mesocricetus auratus (golden hamster)
Lineage: Eukaryota; Metazoa; Chordata; Mammalia; Rodentia; Cricetidae
Exons: 4
Source: RefSeq, a predicted model, not a curated record
GCUUUGGAUGCUCCUCUACUCCCGUGCAGUGCUUUUGGGGAUCUGCCCUGCUUUCUCCAUUUCCAGGCAGGCUGUGUUCUUAAGGUGACGUGGCAGGAGAGCUGCAGAUAGAAGGGAAAAGGACCAGCCGUGCUCAUGGGAUGGCAGAAAAUAGGAUCCAUUCAGGACAGUGGAUCAUAAGCUCUUUGGAUGAAGAGGUGUCUCCUAUUAUUCUUUUUACCCUGUUGCCUGGCAAACACUACGUACUCAAUAUCUGCUGAAUGAUGAGUGAAUGGGAUCCAUUCCCCGAGGAGCCUGGACUUUGCUGAAGGCAUGCUGCACCCUCCACUCGGAGUUUCCCCCUGGGAGAUACCCAGUGAACGUUCUUGAGUCUGAUGAAAAGGAGGCCAGAAUCCAUCAAACCCAAAGAGUUCCCUUGUCUCUACCCCCAUCACUGGGAUUUCAGCUCCAUCUAAUUCCUUGCCCAGACAUAACAGUGUCCCUCUGGACCCCCGCCUCUCUCUCCACACAAGAACAGAAGUUCUACAGCAUCCUUUUGCCUGCACAACUUCCUCUGUGGAAUCCCAAAGAAAGAGCCUGGGCGGAUGGAAAGUGAUUUAUAAUCCAGAGUGCGGUUUCUUUCACUGUUGGUUCCGGUUUCCUGCCUCAGGAAUCACUCUGCAUAUUAGCACUACACUGAUGACAUUCAAAACAGGUGCAACUGCCUAUAGAACAGCUGCCUCGGCCCACUGAAAGCGGCAAGCGGAGACCCCGGGUGCGUGAACCCUCCUUCUGAUAAGCUUCAGAGCAAGUAAAAUCAUCAUUAAAGGAAAAUUGACUUGUAAGGACUGCAAGAUUCUAGUCACUGCAUCUAACCACAAAGAAAAGUGAGGCGGCAGCGGCCGAGGGAGUCUUCUUUAAGAACACAUUCAGUAGAGUAACACAAAGGAAUUGCCAUCACAAGAGAGAAGCAAGGCACAGCUUCCAGAUGCCAAGAAGGCAGACAGAAUUCUCCUGCAUGGGGGGGGAGGGGUUUCCAGCUUAGAGUGGACACCUAGGAGGGAUCACAGCCCUGAAGGGCAUUUCCAGAGAGGUGUGGAUGGGGGUAAGAUCAUGCUUUCAAAAUACAGGAGGGCUGGGAGUUCAUGUUAGGGAACAAAAUGAACCCCAAGAGGUUGUAGGACAUCAGGCUUGAAGCUGGUAUAGCUGUCAUUAGAUCUCCCAUGAUUUGGGGACCUGAGGGGUAAUUUGUAAAAUUCCUUCUAUUUAAGACACAAUGCCUUGCAAAGCUUCA